Molecule: unclassified non-coding RNA, 385 nt
Filed under: fungal sp.
Lineage: Eukaryota; Fungi
Description: partial internal transcribed spacer region
Rfam family: Eukaryotic small subunit ribosomal RNA (bases 1-46)
Source: RNAcentral
AAGUCGUAACAAGGUUUCCGUAGGUGAACCUGCGGAAGGAUCAUUAACACGUAUCCACGUAUCAACCAAUGAGAACCUGUUUUCCCGUCUCCCUGUGCAAAGAAUGAAUUGGAACCAGUUUGAGGGAGUGAUGGGACCGAAAGGUCGGCCUUCCUGGUAUACUUAUGUAAAUAGAAAUGUUUGCAUAGACAAUUGUAUUUUUGUUACAGGCUAUUUCUUAUCGCUUUGAUCCCCAUCAUGAUCGUGGCGGUAGGGAAACUUUCACUAUAUUUACCUUUUUUGCUAGUUGACUUUUUAUAUGUGUUGUCUUGCGAAAGCAUGGUGGCACACGUUUAUUAAUUGAACGUUAAAAAUACAACUCUUAGCAAUGGAUAUCUUGGUUCUC